UUUAACUGAGCGUUCAGUUACUUGACGUAGACCCGAAACCGGGCGACCUACCCAUGAGCAGGAUGAAGCGAAAGUAAAAUUUCGUGGAGGUCCGAACCCACGAGCGUUGAAAAGCUCGGGGAUGACUUGUGGGUAGCGGUGAAAUUCCAAUCGAGCCCGGAGAUAGCUGGUUCUCCCCGAAAUAGCUUUAGGGCUAGCCUCAAGGUGAGAGAUACGGAGGUAGAGCACUGAAUGUCCUAGGGGGUAUUGCACCUACCGAAGACUAUCAAACUCCGAAUGCCGUCAUCUUAUACUUGGGAGUCAGACUGUGGGUGAUAAGAUUCAUAGUCGAAAGGGCAACAGCCCAGAUCGUCAGCUAAGGUCCCUAAAUGUAAGUUAAGUGGUAAAGGAUGUGGGAUUGCACAGACAACCAGGAUGUUGGCUUAGAAGCAGCCACUCAUUCAAAGAGUGCGUAAUAGCUCACUGGUCGAGUGAUCCUGCGCCGAAGAUUUCCGGGGCUAAAACUUACUACCGAAGCUACGGCAUCAGUAAUGAUGGGUAGGGGAGCUUCCCAUACGGGUUGAAGCAUGACCGUAAGGACAUGUGGACAGUAUGGGAGUGAGAAUGUUGGCAUGAGUAGCGAGAUGUGGGUGAGAAUCCCACAGGCCGUAAACCCAAGGUUUCCAGGGGAAGGUUCGUCCGCCCUGGGUUAGUCGGGACCUAAGCUGAGGCCGAAAGGCGUAGGUGAUGGACAACAGGUUGAUAUUCCUGUACUACCGAUAACCGUUUGAGAGAAGGGAUGACACAGUAGGAUAAGCUAAGCACACUGUUGGUUAUG
This 817-nucleotide ribosomal RNA is filed under the name Clostridioides difficile. RNAcentral describes it as "partial 23S ribosomal RNA". It matches the Rfam family "Bacterial large subunit ribosomal RNA", at positions 683 to 1506 of the family's 2925-position model. Lineage: Bacteria; Bacillati; Bacillota; Clostridia; Peptostreptococcales; Peptostreptococcaceae. The record is from RNAcentral.